Molecule: ribosomal RNA, 254 nt
Filed under: uncultured bacterium
Lineage: Bacteria
Description: partial 16S ribosomal RNA
Rfam family: Bacterial small subunit ribosomal RNA
Source: RNAcentral
UACGGAGGGUGCGAGCGUUGUCCGGAAUCAUUGGGCGUAAAGGGCGCGUAGGUGGCCCGGUCAGUCCGUGGUGAAAGCGCGGGGCUCAACCCUGCGUCGGCCAUGGAUACUGCCGCGGCUGGAGCACUGUAGAGGCAGGCGGAAUUCCGGGUGUAGCGGUGGAAUGCGUAGAGAUCCGGAAGAACACCGGUGGCGAAGGCGGGUCUCUGGGCAACAACUGACGCUGAGGAGCGAAAGCGUGGGGAGCGAACAGG